GGGAGACGCCGCUCUUUACUACGGCCGAACCCCCAUAGAGAAAACCCCCGUUCCCCCUACGCGGCGUUGACCCCGAUCCACCACCCGCCCGGCUUUCAUGAGUACAGGUACGAAGGCUACGGCAUCCUGCCUUCGGGUCAGGUACAAACAGAGCAUUACUCAUGCCCGAAACAGCCGUUGCGUAACGCUUCCCUUGGCCAGGCUCCGCCAGCCGGAUCGUGGCUGUGGUUUACUGCUCUGCGGUGACUCCCCAGCCUCUUCCCAUGUUGCUGGUUCCCUGGCAGCUCAGCUUCCUAUGGUUAACAUUUUCCCAGUUGCUUUGUUACUCCCUAAGGCUGCUAUAAGGACUGCGAUCGAUACCUCUUCCCGCUUCUCCCGGGUUUUCCCCUUAAGGAGUCACCUGUCUGGUGGGUAAUGCCCGUCCUCGAGCGUAGCUUUCAUUUCCCGGGAGCUCCGUUUCCACAGCACACUGCAGCCACAGGCAGAUCUUGCAGCUCCGUGACUCAUCUCUUUCUGGAUCCUCUGCAUCCAAGAAGCAGCAUGCUGGGGGAUGAUAGUAAAUCUCCUGGUGAAAGCAGGAUUUUAUGGUUGUGCUUAUUCAUCUUUCUGCAAAGCAGAACUCUAUUAUGUAAAUGCCAACAGAAGCAGUGGCACCGAGUACUGAAGAACGUACAAACUGGUGUGCUAAUCUUCACUAAUGAACAACAGAGGUAUUCAGAAGCAGAGAUGCUCUAAGGAAGAAGCUGGAUUGUAACAGUUUCUUUCCAUACUGCUCUUUAAGAAACAAAUAAGUAAAAAUGAAAGCCUUUCCAGGAUUUUAGGAGUAGAAACCGGUGAUACUCAAAUACCCAUCGCUUCCACCCACUUGGUGUUGUAGAAACCUCUCGGCAGUUAACAGUAAACCAUUUUUCAGCUUUUUGCCUCUUUCUGGUUCGCCCAGGGCUGCACCAGUGCUUGCACUCAGGGCGCUUUUCUUACCUGGGUCACUGGCAGCCUGUACCUCCUCUGCGAAAUGGUCCAUCACAUCCUAUUGCUGUAGUUGAGAGUAAAUGCAAGCCAGCAGAGUUCACCCCUGUUUAAUCUGACUACAGAAGUAAAUGAACUUCCCCAUAGUCAGCUUGAAACACCAGGUAAAUGUGUGUGUGUCAUUUUAUUUAUCGUUAUGCUGUCCUGAUGAGUCAAAUUCUGACUUCUGCUUUAACACAGUGUGAAAACAUGAUCGCAGUUUUUCACAGCCAGACAGAAAUGUACAGUUGCAAAUCAAAAAAAGACAGUUUAGAGUAGAAUUGUGCAGGUGUGCUGGGUUGUACCUGGAUUGUACCUUUCCUUUUCAGUAAACGCAGAUGGGAAUACGUAUGUCUGAAUCCAUUUGGAUUUAAACACUAGAGCAAGUUAUGCAUUUUCAGCUUUUUUUUUUUGAGUCUUUUCCAUGCACAUUUCCCUGUACAUCCUGCUCAUCUUGGGCCUUUCAUAUGGAGCUAAAUGGUGAACAAGGAUAGAAAUUGUUGCAGAAAUUAAAUCCAGUGUUUUGUUUAACUGAUAGAAAAAUAAGUGCUAUUUAGAAGGAACUUAGGAAUCGGUGCCUUGUGCUACGCAGUUGUAAGCAAAAGUCAAGGUUUACCUUAAGAUGAUAUCUAAAUACAGCAACCUCAAAAUUAAAUCUUUGUAUCAUAGCUUAUUUAUUCUAAAAAAAAAUACGAGGUGCAAAAUAAUUAGCAAUAAUUACAGUCAUGGGUUUUGCUUGAGCACAGAGCUCCUGCGUGCAAAUCAACAUCCUGUCUUGUGGGACAAAUCUCCAAAUUUCCACUCCUUCCUGCAGUUCUCCCCCCCUUGAUGAGAGCUGUUGAAUAAUAAUUAAAUAGCUGUUAGAUAUUCCGCAAGAUCUGCUCUAGGUUUUUUGCUAUUUUUAAAAAUUUAGUAAUUUGCCUGCUGCAUCAUACCAAUCUUUCCUCUAGAUGGUGCCCGCUACCCAAGAGUUGGGUGCAAUACUAUCCCAUAUGAAAGGCUAUCGAGAAAUAGUCAGGACGCCGCUCUCCUUUGUUUCUAAAUUCUCUCUUACAAUAGUUCAUCUAAGUUGAUAGAUUAUGUGUUCUGCAUGAUGUAAAUACGGUGUUUCUUCCUCUUGAGAAUCUUAAAAUGCAUUCACUAGAGCCUAAAAUGCCACCUGCCUGGAACAGUAUCAUCUGUUACUCCGUGGACCGAUCCAUAUCUCAUAUUUCUUAUGGCAGCCAUUAACUGGUGUUAGCUGUUGAUCGGCUAGACGGUAUGUACAUCACUGCUGCAAUUGUGGGAACCGAUUAUUUGCCUAGUUUUCAAAUAAAUUAACUCUGAGUAUUGUGUAAA
Harpia harpyja (harpy eagle) is the source of this 2343-nucleotide long non-coding RNA. RefSeq lists it as uncharacterized. The transcript has 2 exons. Lineage: Eukaryota; Metazoa; Chordata; Aves; Accipitriformes; Accipitridae. The record is from RefSeq and is a predicted model, not a curated record.